This 1004-nucleotide ribosomal RNA is filed under the name uncultured Pseudomonadota bacterium. RNAcentral's name for it is "bacterial SSU rRNA". It matches the Rfam family "Bacterial small subunit ribosomal RNA", at positions 506 to 1504 of the family's 1533-position model. The record is from RNAcentral. Lineage: Bacteria; Pseudomonadati; Pseudomonadota.
AUUCAGCAGCCGCGGUAAUACAGAGGGUGCAAGCGUUAAUCGGAGUUACUGGGCGUAAAGCGUGCGUAGGCGGAUAUUCAAGUCGGAUGUGAAAGCCCCGGGCUUAACCUGGGAACUGCAUUCGAUACUGGAUGUCUAGAGUAUGAUAGAGGAAAGUGGAAUUUCCGGUGUAGCGGUGAAAUGCGUAGAUAUCGGAAGGAACACCAGCGGCGAAGGCGACUUUCUGGAUCAAUACUGACGCUGAGGUACGAAAGCGUGGGGAGCAAACAGGAUUAGAGACCCUGGUAGUCCACGCUGUAAACGAUGAGAACUAGGCGUUAAUUUCAUUUUAUUAUGGAACUAGUGCCAAAGCUAACGCGUUAAGUUCUCCGCCUGGGGAGUACGAUCGCAAGAUUAAAACUCAAAGGAAUUGACGGGGGCUCGCACAAGCGGUGGAACAUGUGGUUUAAUUCGAUGAUACCCGAAAAACCUUACCUACCCUUGAAAUCCUUGGAAUCCUGCAGAGAUGCGGGAGUGCCUUCGGGAACCAAGUGACAGGUGCUGCAUGGCUGUCGUCAGCUCGUGUCGUGAGAUGUUGGGUUAAGUCCCAUAACGGGCGCAACCCUUGUCUUUAGUUGCUAGCACAUCAUGGUGAGCACUCUAAAGAGACUGCCGGUGAUAAACCGGAGGAAGGUGGGGACGACGUCAAGUCAUCAUGGCCCUUACGGGUAGGGCUACACACGUGUUAAAAUGGGAAGUACAGAGGGUUGCCAAGCUGCAAAGCGGAGCUAAUCCCAGAAAACUUUUCGUAGUCCGGAUUGAAGUCUGCAACUCGACUUCAUGAAGUUGGAAUCGCUAGUAAUCGCGAAUCAGCAUGUCGCGGUGAAUACGUUCUCGGGCCUUGUACACACCGCCCGUCACACCAUGGGAGCGGGUCUCGCCAGAAGUAGGUAGCCUAACCGCAAGGAGGGCGCUUACCACGGCGGGGUUCGUGACUGGGGUGAAGUCGUAACAAGGUAACCAAU